AAAAAUGUAGGCAAGGGAAGUCAGAAAAAUGGUUCCACAACCUCGAGAAAAGGAUUGGCUCUGAAGGCUAGGCACGAGGGUCCCAGUCAUGAACCCGUCGGCUAUCAGUGGACUACUUGAGCUACUUCCGCGGUGAGAGUGGGUUGUCGCGUCUCGUUCGGGGGAUGAAUUGGGAACGGGCCCUUCGGGGCCUCUUCCUCGGGCAUCAAACAGUCAACUCAAAAUUGGUACAAACAAGGGGAAUUCAAUUGUUUAAUUAAAACAAAGCAUUGCGAUGGUCCCUACAGAUGUUGACGCAAUGUGAUUUAUGCCCAGUGCUCUGAAUGUCAAAGUGAAGAAAUACAACCAAGCGCGGGUAAAUGGCAGGAGUAACUAUGACUCUCUUAAGGCAGCCAAAUGCCUCGUCAUAUAAUUAAUGACACGCAUUGUAAUGACCCACCUCGUCGCUACGAU
RNAcentral lists this ribosomal RNA (453 nucleotides) under Glycine max (soybean). Its description in RNAcentral is "rRNA LSU_rRNA_eukarya". It matches the Rfam family "Eukaryotic large subunit ribosomal RNA", at positions 1894 to 2355 of the family's 3401-position model. The record is from RNAcentral. Lineage: Eukaryota; Viridiplantae; Streptophyta; Magnoliopsida; Fabales; Fabaceae.